AGGAAUAUUGGUCAAUGGGUGCAAGCCUGAACCAGCCAUCCCGCGUGAAGGACGACUGCCCUAUGGGUUGUAAACUUCUUUUGUAUAGGGAUAAACCUACCCUCGUGAGGGUAGCUGAAGGUACUAUACGAAUAAGCACCGGCUAACUCCGUGCCAGCAGCCGCGGUAAUAAGGAGGGUGCAAGCGUUAUCCGGAUUUACUGGGCUUAAAGGGUCCGUAGGCGGACUUAUAAGUCAGUGGUGAAAGCCUGUCGCUUAACGAUAGAACUGCCUGUGAUACUGUAAGUCUUGAGUAUAGUUGGGNUAGCUGAAAUAAGUAGUUUAGCGGUGGAAGUCAUAGAUAUUACU
Molecule: ribosomal RNA, 347 nt
Filed under: uncultured bacterium
Lineage: Bacteria
Description: bacterial SSU rRNA
Rfam family: Bacterial small subunit ribosomal RNA
Source: RNAcentral